Molecule: RNase P RNA, 401 nt
Filed under: Alcaligenaceae bacterium
Lineage: Bacteria; Pseudomonadati; Pseudomonadota; Betaproteobacteria; Burkholderiales; Alcaligenaceae
Description: RNase P RNA component class A
Rfam family: Bacterial RNase P class A
About the family: Ribonuclease P (RNase P) is a ubiquitous endoribonuclease, found in archaea, bacteria and eukarya as well as chloroplasts and mitochondria.
Source: RNAcentral
GGGGCGGGUCGGGCAAUCGCGGUGCGCAGGCAUCGAGGAAGGUCCGGACUCCGCAGGGCAGGGUAGCGGCUAACAGCCGCCCGGCGUCGCGGCGCGCAAGCGUCGCCAAGCCGAGGAACAGGGCCACAGAGACGAGUCUGCGGCGAGGGCCUUCGGGCACCGGCACGGCCAUCUCCGUGCUGCAUGGUGGCUUGCCAUCAUGGCGCUGCAGGGUGAAACGCGGCAACCUCUACCCGGAGCAACAUCAAAUAGGCAUGCGUCGGGCUCGCAAGAGCUCUCAGGGCGGCCCGCCCGAGCAUGCGGGUAGAUGGCAAGAGCGUGUCAGCAAUGGCGCGCCCAGAUGAAUGAUUGCCCGUCGGCUAUCCGGCGUACAGAAUCCGGCCUACAGAUCCGCCCCACUU